GAGGGUAUAGUUCGGUGGUAGAGUAUGUGCUUAGCAUGCACAAGGUCCUAGGAUCAAUCCUCAGUAACCCCA
This 72-nucleotide transfer RNA is filed under the name Camelus bactrianus (Bactrian camel). It matches the Rfam family "tRNA". Rfam says of the family: Transfer RNA (tRNA) molecules are approximately 80 nucleotides in length. Their secondary structure includes four short double-helical elements and three loops (D, anti-codon, and T loops). RNAcentral also lists the same sequence under 2 other names. Lineage: Eukaryota; Metazoa; Chordata; Mammalia; Artiodactyla; Camelidae. The record is from Rfam by way of RNAcentral.